CUCAUCAGACCAGGCAACAUUCUUCCAGUCUUCAACUGUCCAAUUUUGGUUGGAAGCUGCUGUUCUACAAAUCUUCCAAGAUAUUUCUAAAACAUUCUGGAACUACAGGAAAUUCUAAAACUUACCAAGACUAAAAACAGACAUUGCCUGUAUGUUCACAGAAUGUUCAUAAUAAACCAAAAACAUUUGGCACAUCAGUAACCUAAGGAUGAGAGGUCAAAAGAUUAUAUUUCAUUGAUGGAACAUGCUGUCUUGCUUUCAUUUUACUAGACUGCUAGGCUAUGCAUACUGAAAAAAUAUACCACUUUUUCGUAAAUCUAAACCUAUAUUUGGUUCUACCAAUGAUUAACACUGAUGAAAAACACUAUUGUUGGUAAAUGGCAAAAGGAUAUUUAUGGUCAUUUUCUUUUUAACAGGACGACGACUUGGUUUUCAUGUCAAGUUAUAAGAGCCUACUCAAUGUUAUUAUCGUACUGUAACUCUUCUCUGACUGUAAAUGCGAUUAUCUGAUAUUAAAAUAUUUGAAGGAUUCA
This is a long non-coding RNA of Esox lucius (northern pike), 533 nucleotides long. RefSeq lists it as uncharacterized. NCBI's taxonomy places the organism in Eukaryota, Metazoa, Chordata, Actinopteri, Esociformes, Esocidae. The transcript is spliced from 2 exons. The record is from RefSeq and is a predicted model, not a curated record.